UACAGAGGGUGCAAGCGUUGUCCGGAAUCAUUGGGCGUAAAGCGCGCGUAGGUGGCUUCGUAAGUCCGUUGUGAAAGUCAAAGGCUCAACCUUUGAAUGCCGAUGGAUACUGCGGAGCUAGAGUACGGAAGAGGCGAGUGGAAUUCCUGGUGUAGCGGUGGAAUGCGCAGAUAUCAGGAGGAACACCAAUAGCGAAGGCAGCUCGCUGGGACGUUACUGACACUAAGGCGCGAAAGCGUGGGGAGCGAACAGG
This 253-nucleotide ribosomal RNA is filed under the name uncultured bacterium. RNAcentral's name for it is "partial 16S ribosomal RNA". It matches the Rfam family "Bacterial small subunit ribosomal RNA", at positions 524 to 776 of the family's 1533-position model. The record is from RNAcentral.